AGGGAAUAGUUUAAAUA
Molecule: transfer RNA, 17 nt
Filed under: Ursus maritimus (polar bear)
Lineage: Eukaryota; Metazoa; Chordata; Mammalia; Carnivora; Ursidae
Description: partial tRNA-Pro
Source: RNAcentral